AGUGCUUACAGAACUAGCCACUCUAGGAAGAGAAAUGGGUUAUCAUGAUCCUUUAUCUGUGCCAGAAUCUGUCUUUCAGAAGGAAAAGCAGUCUGGAGGCAGGAACAGCUCUGCAUCACGACGAAAACACCAAACGGUGCGGCAUGCCUGGACAUCUGGUGACCCCAAUGAGAGUCCAAGAUCGAGCCCACGAUCAAGUCCCAGGGGGAGCCCUGAGCUUAAUCGUCGCUCUGGAUCUGGAAUAAUGUGGGUACCGAGUUCUACAGGUAGGGGUGUAAUUCCACUGCAGGAACAGAAAUAUGCAGUGAAACCUCGUGAUGUGUUUCAGAAGAAACAGGCAGAGCGUGAUCCUGUGAAGAGUGAGCUCAGUACUAUGAGUAAGUCCAUGUCUGAUAUAAGUAAGUCCGUGUCUGACAUGAAAGGACUGCUAGAACAAGUACUGAAAGGCAAUGGUAACGAAAAGGUGAAGCAGAACCGUAAGAGAGGCUCUGCAAGCACGUCUCCUACCAAGUCAGGUUCUCCUGAUCGGGGAGGAGAUAAGAGCAGAUCAAAAAACUAGGUGUGGCGGUGAAUGAUUCAGGCCACACUCAUCGCUCUGUUUCUGAAUGUCAAUGGUCUGACAAACCUGAACCCUAUAUCAUGAUUCCUACUGGACCAACUAGAACUGCUGUCAAAUACCUAAUAGAUACAGGUGCACAAAUUACAGUGCUAAAUGCACAACUAGCCAAGCAUCUGAAAAUAUUGCCAUCUCGGAGAAAGGUAAACAUAACAGGUGUUACAGGACAACCUGAAACAUGCUAUUUAGCCAAGGCACAGCUGUGGCUACCUGGGGAGAAAAGAGGUACCCUGGUAGAGUUAGCAUUGGCUUCGUGCAAACAUAAUAUCCUUGGGUUUGAUGUUCUAGCAGGCAGAAGAUGGCACCUUCCUGACGGAACAUUAUGGAGCUUUGGUGCUUAUGAGAGGAGGAAUAAGAGGCAAAGGUUAAUCCGUGCUCGUGUUCGCUUAUUGCAAACAGCUCCUCCAUUGCCAAAGUCACCCAUUACUUGUGUUGCACAGUAUCCAUUGCCAGCUGCAGCUAAGCAAGGUAUCACUGAAGUGAUAGCUGAUCUUGAAAAGAGACAGAUUAUCACUAGAACUCAUUCUCCUUACAAUUCACCUGUUUGGCCAGUCCGAAAAUCUAAUGGCCGAUGGAGAUUGACGGUAGAUUUCCGGAAGCUAAAUAGUAACACUCCUCCUCUUACUGCAGCAGUUCCUAGUCUUUCAUCCACAGUGACAGCAAUCCAAGCGGCUUCUCACACCUGGAUGGCGACUCUAGACGUGAAGGACAUGUUCUUCAUGGUGCCAUUGAGAGAAGAGGACAAACCGCAGUUUGCUUUUACCUGGCAAGCCUUUCUGGUUUUUUCCCCGGACUUAACAACAACAAACUGCUCGCCGAUCUAGUCUCGCCUCGGGUGGACCCCGAGUCGCGGAGACUACAUUCUGCAUGCCUGGACCCUCAUCGGGAGAAUGAGAGACUCCUUACCAAGCUAUAGACUGUGAGUAGCUGACUGACGAACUAUUAACUCAAACCAGAGACUCAAAGAACUCUCUUUAAACAUCAUAGACUCUAUAAUUUGCCAUUUUCGGAAAUGUUACUUUGAUCUCAAUCAAAAAGAAUUCACAGUGGUGGUGUAGUUUCGGGAAGAGGGAAUCCGCAUUCUUUGCAAUAAAUCACUGAUAAAAUA
Long non-coding RNA from Pogoniulus pusillus (Red-fronted tinkerbird), 1724 nucleotides. RefSeq lists it as uncharacterized. The transcript is spliced from 2 exons. NCBI's taxonomy places the organism in Eukaryota, Metazoa, Chordata, Aves, Piciformes, Lybiidae. The record is from RefSeq and is a predicted model, not a curated record.